GGUGGAUUCAGAGCUUUAAAUAAGCUCAGGGCCAGUCGCCCACAGAUUCCAUGAAAUCCUUAAAGGGGACCGGAACUCCAAAGAUCAACCGUGAGGGUGGAGGGAACUAUACAAGAGUGUGAACACUAGGAGGCAGGAAUCUGGAUCACCCUGGAGACUGUCUACCACAGUGUCAUUAAAGGGAUGUUUGUACAGCAAACUGCCUUGGAAGAUAGUGUUUCCCUCCAGAGCAGAGGGUAGGCCUGAAGACUGAUUAUAGAAAGGAUAAUAUUCCCCAUCCAGAGCAAA
Molecule: long non-coding RNA, 288 nt
Organism: Lutra lutra (Eurasian river otter)
Lineage: Eukaryota; Metazoa; Chordata; Mammalia; Carnivora; Mustelidae
Exons: 3
Source: RefSeq, a predicted model, not a curated record